RNAcentral lists this ribosomal RNA (440 nucleotides) under uncultured bacterium. Its description in RNAcentral is "bacterial SSU rRNA". It matches the Rfam family "Bacterial small subunit ribosomal RNA", at positions 338 to 795 of the family's 1533-position model. The record is from RNAcentral.
CCUACGGGGGGCAGCAGUGGGGAAUAUUGCACAAUGGGGGAAACCCUGAUGCAGCAACGCCGCGUGAGCGAAGAAGGCCUUCGGGUCGUAAAGCUCUGUCCUAAGGGAAGAAGCAUGACGGUACCUUAGGAGGAAGCCCCGGCUAACUACGUGCCAGCAGCCGCGGUAAUACGUAGGGGGCGAGCGUUAUCCGGACUCACUGUGCGUAAAGGGUGCGUAGGCGGCCAAUUAAGACGAAGGUGAAAGGCUACGGCUAAACCGUAGUAAGCCUUUGGAACAGAAUGGCUUGAGUGCAGGAGAGAAGAGUGGAAAUCCUAGUGUAGGGGUAAAACGCGUAGAAAUUAGGAGGAACACCAGUGACGAAGGCGACUCUCUGGACUGUAACUGACGCUGAGGCACGAAAGCGUGGGGAGCAAACAGGAUUAGAUACCCUUGUAGUC